This 1677-nucleotide long non-coding RNA is filed under the name Olea europaea subsp. europaea. Lineage: Eukaryota; Viridiplantae; Streptophyta; Magnoliopsida; Lamiales; Oleaceae. The record is from RNAcentral.
GUUUGAAGAGUGUGCGUGUGUGUGUAACAGUGUGUUUGAGAGAGAGAGAGAGAGAGAGACCUUUGUGUAUGUUCGCAUACGCUGAAUCUGGUUUGGCCACAACCCACUAUUUAAAACACCAGCCUCAUUGAUCCCAGCAUCAUUUGAACAACUGGCGUUAAAUGACAUCUUUGGCAACCCAAAUGUUUGAGAAUUGAUUCCAGCAGAGCAAAAUUCUGUUUCAUUAUCCCUUGGAUUACCACUGUAAUUAGAGAGCAAGUUUUGGAUAUCCUUCCCGGAAUCACAACCCCUUGACAACAAAGCAUCAGGUGUCAAUCCAUCAAUACUGCUUGUGAAAGGAAGACUGCUCUGGGGAUGUGAUUGAAUGUCACCAUCCAAGCCAGCAAGAGAAAAGUUCUGCCGCCCACUAGCAUCCAAGCAAUACGAUGUUGCGCUUGAAGCUGCAUCCAAGUGAUCUUUAGCUGUAUUUCGGUAUUUAGGCUGCUUCGGUCCUUUAUAACUAGGUAAAUCACUUUUUAUUAGGAUAUCAGCCUUGCUAUGAGACUCUGGAGCUAAACUAGGAACAGGAUGAAUAACCGAAUUAUCAAGUAAUGCAGCUGAUCCCAAUUGAUUUCUGUUCAGAAAGUUCGACAGCGAAGCUUGCAUAUUGUUUGUACAAGGUGCGAUUGAACAUGAUGGGCCAGCCGCAUCAGCUGGUUCGGAAUGUGAUUUGACAGUGAACGUAGACUUUUGCUGGCUGUAGAGUUGGUUGACAGGAAAUUGUGGUGAUUGCACAAGUGUUGAUGCUGAAAAGCCGGUGCUGCUGAAAUGCUGAGCUUGCUGGUUUUGUUGAAGAGCCUGUUGUUGUUGGGAAAACGGAGGCUCCAAAAAAGAACUUACAGGGGACGGCACCUGUUGCAGCUGCUGUUGCUGCUGAUGUUUCUGGAGAAUCUGCAUUUGCAGCUGAUGUUCCGAAAUACUCUGUUGUGAUGUCUGUUUCCCUUGUGGCUUUUGUAUUGAGAUUGGCUGCGGAAAUUGUGGCCGAGUUUGUUGCAUUUCUGUCUGCUGUUGCUGGGGCCUCUGCACAAGGCUAGAUGGUUGUUCAAUAUGUUGCUGAAACUGAGUGUCCUGAGGUAAAGAUAUCAUGGGUACUGUACUUUUGUUUGCUGAGGGAACAUUUUGCUGCAUUUGUGUAUUGCCUCUUAUUAACUGUUGUUGCUGAAGUUGUUGGGAGAUAAUUGCUGUUUGCUGUGAAUUUUGAUAUGGAUUCUGGUCAGGAGCUACACCAUUAUUUAUAGGGUUUAUAGAAGACGUUAACAUUUGCUGCAGCGGCUGCUGUUGGGGCCACGCAGAAGACGGCUGCUGUUGAAGUUGUCCAACUUGUUGAUUGAUUUUGCUGAGUUGGAGAUUUUGGGAAGCAAAGGCCGGGGAUUGGAAAUUCAACAGCUUGGAGCAGUCGUCAGUUCCAAGGUUACCGUGUAGGUUAGUUGAAGAGAGCCCGUCCGGGAAAAGUCCAGACUGAUUAGCUGUGAACUGUUGAUUCUGCUGCAUGUUCAUCCACUGAACUAAACUCAUCCCGGGGAAUAUGAAGCUUGAGGUAUCUUUUAAACCAUAGUCCUCUCCAAUCAAGGGCAUGCCUCUCUUGAAAAUAUUCUCUAUAUCGGAAUCAUCAUCUGUAAAAACACGAGUUUGAGGAAA